RNAcentral lists this ribosomal RNA (253 nucleotides) under uncultured bacterium. RNAcentral describes it as "partial 16S ribosomal RNA". It matches the Rfam family "Bacterial small subunit ribosomal RNA", at positions 524 to 776 of the family's 1533-position model. The record is from RNAcentral.
UACAUGGGGUGCAAACGUUGCUCGGAAUUAUUGGGCGUAAAGCGCACGUAGGCGGUCCGUUAAGUCAGAUGUGAAAGCCCCCGGCUCAACCGGGGAAGUGCAUCUGAAACUGGCGGGCUAGAGUACGAAAGAGGGUCGCGGAAUUCCCGGUGUAGAGGUGAAAUUCGUAGAUAUCGGGAGGAACACCGGUGGCGAAGGCGGCGACCUGGGUCGAUACUGACGCUGAGGAGCGAAAGCCAGGGGAGCAAACGGG